GUUUUUUUUAGUGGUCCAUCAUGGCAGUAUUGGUAAAAGUUGUUUCUGUGUGGUUUCGCAUUGCUAGUGUCAGUAAUGUCUUCUGUCAUCCAAAGAGGGAUGUCAUGGAGGAAAGUUCCCAUGUGGUUGAUGUUACCAAAUCCCAACAACCAGACCCAAACUGGAGCUAAUGAUGGUGCAAGUGAAGAUUACUGUAUGUUGUCUCCCCAAAACCAGACAACCGCUGCCCAAACUGAAAAUGCUGUAAAAAGAUGGAGCAAGUGAAUAUGACAUGGUAACUGAAUCCCCAAAACCAGACAGUGCCAUCUGCCACAGGUGGAGUAACCGUGGAGUCCAAGGAUGGGCCAAGUGAAGAUGCUGAGGUUAUCACGCCGAUACCGAAUGCCCAAAACCAGACCACCUCGGCGCACAGUAUAGGAACGGAUGGUGCAAGUGAGGAUGCAGUGUUGACCACUGUGCUGAACCUGCAAGAUGGAACCACUAACACUGGUAUUGACAUUUUACCUGUUG
Molecule: long non-coding RNA, 510 nt
Organism: Alosa alosa (allis shad)
Lineage: Eukaryota; Metazoa; Chordata; Actinopteri; Clupeiformes; Clupeidae
Exons: 6
Source: RefSeq, a predicted model, not a curated record